RNAcentral lists this microRNA precursor (78 nucleotides) under Cajanus cajan (pigeon pea). Its description in RNAcentral is "miRNA gene-KK1_039659". The record is from RNAcentral. Lineage: Eukaryota; Viridiplantae; Streptophyta; Magnoliopsida; Fabales; Fabaceae.
CUUAAAUAGCCGAUUUUAAAAGUGAUACUUUUAAAUUUGGCUAUUUGAUAGUAGCACUUUUAAAAUCGGCUCUUCAAG